Hippopotamus amphibius kiboko is the source of this 70-nucleotide small nucleolar RNA. RefSeq annotates it as small nucleolar RNA SNORD113/SNORD114 family. The transcript has a single exon. The record is from RefSeq and is a predicted model, not a curated record. Lineage: Eukaryota; Metazoa; Chordata; Mammalia; Artiodactyla; Hippopotamidae.
UGGAUGAGUGAUGACUAUGGGCAGCGUGAGUCACGGAGGAUGACUGUGUGUCUGGGACUCCAAGGUCCAA